Molecule: ribosomal RNA, 327 nt
Filed under: uncultured eukaryote
Lineage: Eukaryota
Description: partial 18S ribosomal RNA
Rfam family: Eukaryotic small subunit ribosomal RNA
Source: RNAcentral
CCCUUAGAUGUUCUGGGCCGCACGCGCGCUACACUGACGAAUGCAACGAGCUUAUAACCUUGGCCGAAAGGUCUGGGUAAUCUCCAAAUUUCGUCGUGAUGGGGAUAGAUUAUUGCAAUUAUUAAUCUUCAACGAGGAAUGCCUAGUAAGCGCAAGUCAUCAGCUUGCGUUGAUUACGUCCCUGCCCUUUGUACACGCCGCCCGUCGCUCCUACCGAUUGAAUGGUCCGGUGAAGCGCUCGGACCGCGGCCUCUUGACGGUUCGCUGUCGAUUGGCUGUGGGAAGUUCGUUAAACCUUAUCAUUUAGAGGAAGGAGAAGUCGUAACA